GUUGUCCGACUCUGUUGCCUCCGGGGCGACCCUGCCUUCGGGCGGGGGCUCCGGGUGGACACUUCAAACUCUUGCGUAACUUUGCAGUCUGAGUAAACUUAAUUAAUAAAUUAAAACUUUUAACAACGGAUCUCUUGGUUCUGGCAUCGAUGAAGAACGCAGCGAAAUGCGAUAAGUAAUGUGAAUUGCAGAAUUCAGUGAAUCAUCGAAUCUUUGAACGCACAUUGCGCCCCCUGGUAUUCCGGGGGGCAUGCCUGUUCGAGCGUCAUUUCACCACUCAAGCCUCGCUUGGUAUUGGGCAUCGCGGUCCGCCGCGUGCCUCAAAUCGACCGGCUGGGUCUUCUGUCCCCUAAGCGUUGUGGAAACUAUUCGCUAAAGGGUGUUCGGGAGGCUACGCCGUAAAACAACCCCAUUUCUAAGGUUGACCUCGGAUCAGGUAGGGAUACCCGCUGAACUUAAGCAUAU
This 465-nucleotide ribosomal RNA is filed under the name Cladosporium cladosporioides. RNAcentral describes it as "eukaryotic LSU rRNA". The stretch from base 115 to 268 matches the Rfam family "5.8S ribosomal RNA". Lineage: Eukaryota; Fungi; Ascomycota; Dothideomycetes; Cladosporiales; Cladosporiaceae. The record is from RNAcentral.